This 496-nucleotide ribosomal RNA is filed under the name uncultured bacterium. RNAcentral's name for it is "partial 16S ribosomal RNA". It matches the Rfam family "Bacterial small subunit ribosomal RNA", at positions 29 to 507 of the family's 1533-position model. The record is from RNAcentral.
ACGAACGCUGGCGGCGUGCCUAAUACAUGCAAGUAGAACGCUGAAGAGAGGAGCUUGCUCUUCUUGGAUGAGUUGCGAACGGGUGAGUAACGCGUAGGUAACCUGCCUUGUAGUGGGGGAUAACUAUUGGAAACGAUAGCUAAUACCGCAUAACAAUGGAUGACACAUGUCAUUUAUUUGAAAGGGGCAAUUGCUCCACUACAAGAUGGACCUGCGUUGUAUUAGCUAGUAGGUGAGGUAAUGGCUCACCUAGGCGACGAUACAUAGCCGACCUGAGAGGGUGAUCGGCCACACUGGGACUGAGACACGGCCCAGACUCCUACGGGAGGCAGCAGUAGGGAAUCUUCGGCAAUGGGGGCAACCCUGACCGAGCAACGCCGCAUGAGGGAGGAAGGUUUUCGGAUCGUAAAGCUCUGUUGUAAGUCAAGAACGGGUGUGAGAGUGGAAAGUUCACACUGUGACGGUAGCUUACCAGAAAGGGACGGCUAACUACGUG